CGGGAGGCUGCCGUCCGGGGACACCCAGCGAGCACGCCUCGGGUGGUAAGUGGGGGGCCAGGGGGUGCAGAGCGCUCAGGGCGAGGUGGUGGGGGCCGGAUGCCUUUCAAGUACUUCCAGUUUCAGGUAACGAGAGCACUUGCGGAGGGUAAUCAAGAGGUCAUGUUGGCAGACUCCCGCCGAGGCUCUCUUGGGAACGUUUAGAAGAUGGAAAUACUGUUGUCUUGCUCAGACGGCUAGGAUGUUUCACAGAAGCCGGCUUUUCCUUAUCGAUCUCCUGCUGGGGGCCGGGCUCGCGUUAGCGCUGUCACACCGAUGAACUCAGGCCGUCCUCAUCAAAGCCCGCACAGCAGCCCUCAUUACCCCCGGUGCCCACAUGAGGGAUCGAAGGUGCUCUGGUUAAGUGAGUUGUUUCAGGUCACUUAGCUGGGAAGUGUGGCCUGGGGACCCUGCUUCUCCAUUAGGUGCGGCGGGCACGGCGCGAGAAUGUCUGUCCCAACACCAUUCUCUUAGGGGCUCGUGCACAUCUAUUGGAUUUUGCUUAAAGCUGAAACAUGGCGAAGUAUUUGAAGGUUUAUAAAAGAAAAAAAUUUUAUAUUAUUUUUAUUUAUUAUUUUUUUAAAUGUUUAUUUUUGAGAGAGACAGAGACAGAGAGGCAGAACGUGAGUGGGGGAGGGGCAGAGAAAAAGGGAGACACAGAAUCCAAAGAAGCAGGCUCCGGGCUCCGAGCUGUCAGCACAGAACCCGACGUGGGUCCCGAACUCACGGACCAUGAGAUCGUGACCUGAGCUGAAGUCGGACGCUGAGUCGCCCAGGCGCCCCAAAGAAAAUUUUAAAUAUGGAUAUUAUUAUGGUGUGGCCACGAAAGUCACAACGCAGCUCGGAGGGAUUUUAACUCGGCCUGGCUCCCCCAGAGCCCGCCCAGGUCCUCGGGAGGUCUAGGAAGGGCGUGUGACUGGUGCGUCUGGGGCACCUGACAUCAAACACAACUCCGUUGAAGGGCGCUCCCCUUUUCCCAGCCCCCACGCAUGACGUAACAUUGCUGUUCCUGCCUGUAGCUGGGGGUGGGGGGCGCCCAAGACAGGCUUCUAAAGAUGGGAAGUACCGAGCAGUAGUGAUCCGCCCUUCCGCUUACGCAGUCGGUCGCACCGCGGUCUUGGUUUUUUUGAAUAAACUGUCCAUCGUAGAACAAUUUCAGAUUUAUGGAGAAGUUGCAGAGACAGUACGGAGUUCCCGCGCACCCCCCGGCCAGUUUCCCUGUGGCUAACACUGUGUGUUACUGCAGCACGAUGCCAUUACCAACCAGCCGACAUCGGUCCAUUGUUAACUUGACUCCAGACUGGAUUUGGAUUUCCCUGGUUUCCCCACCGAUGUUCUCUCUCCGUUCCAGCAUCCGAGCUGGGCAACGAACUCUGCAUGGUUGUCUUGUCUGGUCCAUAUCGUUUUUCGAUAACCUGCUCUGCCGGGCGGAGCUUCGGCCGCGGUCCAGUUCGUGGUCCAGAGGGUGACCUAGACGGGGGGGCCAACGCCCGCGUCGUGGUGAAAGGCUCGAAGGACGACGCGGCCUGGACACCGGCAGCUUCCCCUGGGAAGAUUAGCAAAAGCAGGCGUGCAGCGCUUUGGGCUUUGAAAGGAGGGCGCUUGAUGGAAAAGCCAGCUUGAAUAAUAACACCGAGCACUGUAUUUUGAUGGGAUAAUUGUUUUAUAUUUAUAAAGAUUCUUAAUUAUCUCCAGCAAAUGCAUUUAGCUCACUUGGUAAUUGAAUUAAGGAAAAUGUCUUUUCAAGCGUUGUGAGUCGUUGCCAUAAUAAAAAAGAAUAACUUAAAAGCGCUUCCCCACAUGACCUAGACAGGCUCGUUAUUACCGAAGGCUGAGUAAUUCCAUCAAGGACCCAGCCGGCUCUAAUAUAACAGGUAUUCUAGAGAUGCCGAGUUAAAAUGACAAGAGACAAUGGAAAUUUCCUUCCUUUGGGGACCCCUUGAUGAUCCCCCAUUUACAGCCGGUCUUCCCGUCCUGGGCCUGGGGCACACGGCCAUUUUUGUGACGUGUCCCAAUCGCACCGCACGGUGACCGUCUCAGGGUCUGUCCCCUACCCCUUUUCCCACCCACGUGUGUGUCUCGAGAGCUGGGACUGCAUACAGCCCACUUAGGUAGCGCAAAAAAGAAGCCUGUUUGGCACCUCCCGAACCGAGUUCUUCCACGGCUUCGAACGUUUCUUCAGAAAGCACCCUCUCGACGUUUUAUCUUUGGCCGGACACGCUUUUUAGCUUAUGGGGUUG
Molecule: long non-coding RNA, 2279 nt
Filed under: Lynx pardinus (Iberian lynx)
Lineage: Eukaryota; Metazoa; Chordata; Mammalia; Carnivora; Felidae
Source: RNAcentral